ACGAACCGACGUAGUCGAACGGUCCUCACAUCCGACACGCUUGCGGAACUCUAUCGAGCAGGAGGAAACCGGAAACAAGCAUCAACACACGAGAAUCACCACACGAUGCAAGACACAUAUGAUGCACGAACGGUCUAAUGCAAGGCAUGACAAUCACAACAAUCAAACACUACACAUUAAGUGAAGCUCGAUAUGCAACGAGUUGCAUAUCGACGAAACUCCACGUCUAAUUAUUUAGUUCACUCCCGUUCAGGUACACGGAUAUAUUAAAUGUUGGUAAACAUGGCACGAGGGUGAAGCACAAAUUAAUCUACCUAGCUAGGCAUUUUAAAUGAGAUCGGAAACGACAUAUAGCAUCUCCGAAAUAACCCCAUGUGUUAAAUCUUAAUUCUGUCCAGAUUUGUCCUAAUCACAUUUUAGGUUUGUUAAACGGCAAAACAAAGUGGUUCACGUGUUUCUACUCGUCGUUCUGGCCCAUCUACAUAUAUGGCACAUCUCCAAGAGAGAUACGGUUAAAUAGUUACGACCCAAACCGUUUAUAUUACGUCGACAUGCAAACCGAAGCAAAACAGCACACCUAACAGUUUUAAAUAUGCAUGGGAGAAGGUUAUUGUGAAACUACAGAAAAUUCUAAGCAACUUACAUGUUGAAAUCAUUUUAAACCGGUGCACGGUUAGAUGUAUACGAAUUUUACAAAAGGGCAUAUGAAUAUGUUCAAAAAAUAAAAAAAAAUGGAAUUGCUAGGAUUUGAACCCCAGAUCCCUUGGAUGGACAAUAAUAGCCCUACCACCAGACUAAUUAAGUGGUUGUGUCAAAAUUGACAAAACAGCACAUCCACAAGUAUGAUAGAAGCUGGUGCGCUGGAGGCAAAAUUCCUAAAAAAAUUAUAAUAUGCACUGAUGGGGAUUUGAUCCCUGGACCUCUCAUUUGAAAAUAAGGUUGCUAGCCACUGCACUAAACUCUGUUACUAGCAUGAAAGGAAUUCGAAUGUAUAUCAACUAGCCAAGACGGGAACAAAUAUGAGCUGGUGCACCACAAAAGAAAAUGAAACAUAAAAUCUGGGGCGCACGGGAGUCGAACCGGGGACCUCCAUCACAGCAGUUGGCUGCGCUAGCCAACUCAGCUAGCCUACAACUCGUUGACACAACCAGUGCCCACUAUAGACAACAUGUCCUUGCUAGAACGGAUCUAGAGGAGACUGAAUUCAGAUCGGGAGGACUGCUCACAACGGGGAUGCAGAGGCCGACGGCGCGAUGCUUCGGCGAAGAUGGCGGACUCGGAGGCCGGGAAUGGAUAGGGGGGAACGGUCGGGUGCGGAUCCGGCUGGAAGGGCUACGACGGUGAGGUUCACGGUGACGAGACGGCAGCCAUGGGGCUCCUGCAGGUGCUGAUUCAGACAACUUCAGAGAAAAAAAAUUCAGAAAGAGGGGGAGAGCAGGGGAGGAAGAAGAAGAGGAGAGCGAGGCAUAGGGACCUGCUGCUGCAGCUGGUUGGUUCAUCGACGCAUCGGCUGAACGGGUGAGGAGAGCACGGGUCCAACCAUUCCCGGAGUCAGUCGGUGGCGGCGUGGUGCAGCUUGAGCAUCGGGCCCUGGUUGGAGCUCCUGCAGCACGAGAGGGAGCACAGGGUACGGUCAACAGCAAGUUGACUCAGCCGGCAGCGCGUGACGGCUUGAGAAACGAACGGGAAAGGCUCGGGAUGGGCAGAUCCCGGCUCGGGCCACCCAUUCCCGACGACGAGGGAUCUUGGGGAGGCGCGGACGGCGACCUCCAUCAAGGCGGCGACGGGUUCCUCUGCCCUUGUCAACGAGAGAAGAGAGAGCUUAGCAGAGAUGGGAGAAGAUAAAAGCAGAGAGGGUAAGGGAAGGAGAGGCUCCGACGUGCCGACCUGGGAGGUGGCCGAUGCCCAUGGCGAGGCUGCAGGGAGGCACCUGAGGUGGAGCCUGCCUCGCGAGUAGAGGAUCUCGGGAAGCUCGGGGUCGAUCCCCUGCUAGCGCCGCACGCUGCUUGGACGAGGUCGGGGUCACCGAUAGGCGCAGCUGGCGGAAGGGGUGCCGGUGCCCAACCGACACUAGCGGCGAGGUGCGCGCAGAUGGGGCCGCUGCUGCGUCCGUACUCUGCUGGCGGUGCUCCUCCGAAGAUGUUGCUGCAGUGCAACAGGGGGAGAGGAAUGAGACACAGCGAGCAGGAGGGAAGGGAGCAGAGGAACACAGGGAGGGGGGACGGAGAGGGACAUGGCCGACCUGGAGGCUGGGUGCUGCUACUGCGCGCGGAUGCCUGCGGGGAAGCGGCGGCUGCACGCGAGCGCUCUGUUGGGUGCGAACGUGCAACGAGGAGGAGGGGGGUUGGUCGGGAGGAGAUCCCGAGGGAGAUGGUGGCGGCGGCGCUGCGGGAAUUGGGGAGGGAAUGGAUGGGAC
This 2416-nucleotide long non-coding RNA is filed under the name Hordeum vulgare. Its description in RNAcentral is "long non-coding RNA (HVUL_LNC005774)". Lineage: Eukaryota; Viridiplantae; Streptophyta; Magnoliopsida; Poales; Poaceae. The record is from RNAcentral.